GCCCCUUCCACAUAUAUUGCCUGAAGCCUAUCCUAAACCAGUCCUAUACAAAGCCCUAAGUCCAACCUUAAAGGACCACUAUAGGCACCCAAGCCACUUAUGCUCAAUGAAUUGGUCUGGGUGCCAGGUCCAUCUAGGGUUAACCCUGCCUGCUGUAAGCAUAGCAGUUUCAGAGAAACUGCUAUGUUUGCAUAUGGGUUAAUCCAGCCUCUAGUGGCUGUCUCAUUGACAGCCGCUAGAGGCACUUCCGCGCUUCUCACUGUGAUUUUCACAGUGAAAAGACGC
Molecule: non-coding RNA, 285 nt
Organism: Pelobates cultripes (western spadefoot toad)
Lineage: Eukaryota; Metazoa; Chordata; Amphibia; Anura; Pelobatidae
Source: the annotation of a GenBank genome assembly